RNAcentral lists this ribosomal RNA (253 nucleotides) under uncultured bacterium. RNAcentral describes it as "partial 16S ribosomal RNA". It matches the Rfam family "Bacterial small subunit ribosomal RNA", at positions 524 to 776 of the family's 1533-position model. The record is from RNAcentral.
UACGGAGGGCGCAAGCGUUGUUCGGCAUCACUGGGCGUAAAGCGCGUGUAGGCGGCUCUGCAAGUCGGGUGUGAAAUCCCGAGGCUCAACCUCGGAACUGCACUCGAUACUGCUUGGCUCGAGUCCCGGAGAGGGUGGCGGAAUUCCCGGUGUAGGGGUGAAAUCCGUAGAUAUCGGGAGGAACACCAGUGGCGAAGGCGGCCACCUGGACGGUGACUGACGCUGAGACGCGAAAGCGUGGGGAGCAAACAGG